Molecule: long non-coding RNA, 394 nt
Organism: Oreochromis niloticus (Nile tilapia)
Lineage: Eukaryota; Metazoa; Chordata; Actinopteri; Cichliformes; Cichlidae
Exons: 3
Source: RefSeq, a predicted model, not a curated record
UCUACUGCUCUCGCUCUCUCCUGCGCUCGCUCUUACUGCAAAACUAGGUCAAUUGGGAACCCACCUGCAUAUUGAUUGCAGGCUGGCACCAGGUAUAAAGCUAAGCCGGUGCUUCUUUGGAUUAUUCCUCCCAUGCAUUCAGCGCAAAGCAGCAGUAAAUGCUGACACUCUGCGACGGACUGAUCGGCAAGAGUAGAUCAUAUGACAGCCACAGCGCGGCAGGUUGUUUUAUUCCGGCGUUGCGGAGAGAGGUGCUUGUGUGAUUUCCCCCACCAGUGAGAGUAUAACGCUUCCGGUCCUGGGGGCGUGAUCGCUGCCUUCACCUCCGUGGCAACUCACACAGCCUUAAGUGAAGAAUCAAGACACCUGCCUAGCCGUUGUUGUGAGGGCUCCU